Molecule: long non-coding RNA, 906 nt
Filed under: Erythranthe guttata (spotted monkey flower)
Lineage: Eukaryota; Viridiplantae; Streptophyta; Magnoliopsida; Lamiales; Phrymaceae
Description: long non-coding RNA (EGUT_LNC003398)
Source: RNAcentral
CACAACAUUAUUCAUCAGCAUGCAUUAAAUAUGUCAAUAAAACUACAUAUAUAUCCUAAGAACACCCCCAAGAACAAGAACAAUAACAACAUUUUUCUUGUCUUUUAUUAAAAUCGAAGAAGAAGAAGAAGAAGAAGAAAUGCAACCGCAGGCAGCACCAGCCUAUCAAGGCAUGUCUUACUCCGAUCAUGUCCAAAAACGUCGUCAAGAAAAAGGAUGCUUCUAUGCCUGGUUUGUGUGUGUUUUUUUUUUUUUUUUUUUUUUUUUUUUUUUGCGCGCUGAAUUGAAUUGAAUAAAAAGAAAUACGUGAAUUACGGCCAACCCCUGAGGAAAGGUUAAAUUACGAAAAAACCCUUAAUGUUUGGGUAAUUACAACCACCUCCCUCAACUAUGAAUCUUUUUGCACGUUCACCCUUGCGGUGUCAAAUUUAGUAGAAUCUUCUAGAUUAUGUGGAAUAUUCUCUAGUUUACCCCAUUCGAGCUCCAUAUUUUCAAACAAGAUGAUCGUAAGAUGUGUCUCUUGGCUUGCAAAUAUCAGAUUUUGGUGCAUCAGAAACUGAAUUUUUGCACAAAUCGAGUACAACCUAGAGAACAUUCCAUGGAAUCUAGAAGAUUCUGUUCAAUUUUGACACCAUAACAAUGGACUUGUGAAAAGAUUCAUAGUUGAGGAAUCGUUGUAAUUAUCCAAACAUAAGGGGGUUUUUCGUAAAUUUACCUAACGAAAUAUAACAGGGCAUGUUUGUUUUGUGGUACAGCUUCUUUACAUUGUGUUGCUGUUGGUGUUGUGGAGAGACUUGUGAGUGCUGUUUGGACGCCAUUUGCUGUUGCUGCAUAUAAGCAAAAAUUAAAAAAAUUAAUAAAUAAUAUUUUAUUGUCAAAACUUCUUAUUUUCUAUGUACGAGUUUA